AGAGUUUGAUCCUGGCUCAGGAUGAACGCUAGCUACAGGCUUAACACAUGCAAGUCGAGGGGCAGCAUGGUCUUAGCUUGCUAAGGCCGAUGGCGACCGGCGCACGGGUGAGUAACACGUAUCCAACCUGCCGUCUACUCUUGGACAGCCUUCUGAAAGGAAGAUUAAUACAAGAUGGCAUCAUGAGUCCACAUGUUCACAUGAUUAAAGGUAUUCCGGUAGACGAUGGGGAUGCGUUCCAUUAGAUAGUAGGCGGGGUAACGGCCCACCUAGUCUUCGAUGGAUAGGGGUUCUGAGAGGAAGGUCCCCCACAUUGGAACUGAGACACGGUCCAAACUCCUACGGGAGGCAGCAGUGAGGAAUAUUGGUCAAUGGGCGAGAGCCUGAACCAGCCAAGUAGCGUGAAGGAUGACUGCCCUAUGGGUUGUAAACUUCUUUUAUAAAGGAAUAAAGUCGGGUAUGGAUACCCGUUUGCAUGUACUUUAUGAAUAAGGAUCGGCUAACUCCGUGCCAGCAGCCGCGGUAAUACGGAGGAUCCGAGCGUUAUCCGGAUUUAUUGGGUUUAAAGGGAGCGUAGAUGGAUGUUUAAGUCAGUUGUGAAAGUUUGCGGCUCAACCGUAAAAUUGCAGUUGAUACUGGAUAUCUUGAGUGCAGUUGAGGCAGGCGGAAUUCGUGGUGUAGCGGUGAAAUGCUUAGAUAUCACGAAGAACUCCGAUUGCGAAGGCAGCCUGCUAAGCUGCAACUGACAUUGAGGCUCGAAAGUGUGGGUAUCAAACAGGAUUAGAUACCCUGGUAGUCCACACGGUAAACGAUGAAUACUCGCUGUUUGCGAUAUAC
Molecule: ribosomal RNA, 837 nt
Filed under: Alistipes sp. N15.MGS-157
Lineage: Bacteria; Pseudomonadati; Bacteroidota; Bacteroidia; Bacteroidales; Rikenellaceae
Description: bacterial SSU rRNA
Rfam family: Bacterial small subunit ribosomal RNA
Source: RNAcentral